Molecule: long non-coding RNA, 1850 nt
Filed under: Malus domestica (apple)
Lineage: Eukaryota; Viridiplantae; Streptophyta; Magnoliopsida; Rosales; Rosaceae
Description: long non-coding RNA (MDOM_LNC011911)
Source: RNAcentral
UAUAUAUAUAUAUAUAUAUAUAUAUAAUUAUUUUAGUUUUUAGGGGUAUAAAAUUGUUAAAUUAAUAUAUAUAAUUAUUAUAGUUUAUUCAUACUCUCAUUAAGUAUAACAUAAGAUUUUGUGGUAUCCACUAGUGUAAUUUUUUAAAUUGAAGAUCAAAUUCGUUCAUUGUAUUCAUAUAGGGUCAAGGAGUGUAGCUGUAAAAAAGCAUCAAAAUCGGAGUUAAAAUAACCGUUACAUUUUACAUCAUGAUUUUUCUUUUUAUAACCGUCAAAAGGUUUUGUCCCGUUACUUAAUCUCUAUAUUUUUGUUUUUUGCAAUGUUUGGCGUAUGCGAUCUCGAAGUAUAUACAAUCAUGUUUGACGGUUGGAUCAUUGAAACUAGUUUCGUAGAAUGCGUAUCCCAUCAAAACAAUAGAUUCACUAAAAUUUAAGAGUUUAUUCAUAAUUUCAUUAAGUAUAACAUAAGAUUUUGUGGUAUCCACUAGUGUAAAUAUUUUAAAUUGAAGAUCGAAUUCAUUCAUUGUAUUCAUAUAGGGUCAAGGAGUGUAGCUGUAAAGAAUCAUCAAAAUUGGAGUUAAAUAACCGUUACAUCAUGAUUUUUCUUUUUAUAACCGUCGAAAAGUUUUGUCUCAUUACUUGAUCUCUGAAUGUUUGUUUUUUGCAAGUUCUGGCAUAUGAGAUCUCAAAUAAUAUAAAAACAUGUUUGACGGUUUGAUCGUUGAAACUAGUUUUAUAGAAUGUGUAUCCCAUCAAAACAAUAGAUUCACUAACACUUAAGAGUUUAUUUAUACUUUCAUUAAGUAUAACAUAAGAUUUUGUGGUAUCCACUAGUGUAAAUAUUUUAAAUUGAAGAUCGAAUUCAUUCAUUGUAUUCAUAUAGGGUUAAGGAGUGUAGCUGUAAAAAAUCAUCAAAAUCAGAGUUAAAAUAACCGUUAAAUCAUGAUUUUUGUUUUUAUAACCGUCGAAAGGUUUUGUCCCGUUACUUGAUCUCUAUAUGUUUUUUUUUUUUUUGCAAUUUUUGGCGUAUGCGAUCUCGAAGUAUAUACAAACAUGUUUGACGGUUAGAUCGUUGAAACUAGUUUCAUAUAAUGCUUAUCCCAUCAAAACAAUAGAUUCACUAACACUUAAGAGUUUAUUCAUACUUUCAUUAAGUAUAACAUAAGAUUUUAAAUUGAAGAUCAAAUUCUUUCAUUGUAUUCAUAUAGGGUCAAGGAGUGCAGCUGUAAAAAAUCAUCAAAAUCGGAGUUAAAAUAACUGUUCAAUCGUGAUUUUUCGUUUUAUAACCGUCGAAAUUUUUUGUUCGGUUACUUAAUCUUUGAAUAUUUAUUUUUUUACAAUAUUUGGUUUAUGCGAUCUCGAAGUAUAUACAAACAUGUUUGACGGUUGGAUCGUUGAAACUAGUUUCGUAGAAUGCGUAUUCCAUCAAAACAAUAUAUUCACUAACACUUAAGAGUUUAUUCAUACUUUCAUUAAGUAUAAUAUAAAAUCCACUAGUGUAAAUAUUUUAAAUUGAAGAUCGAAUUCAUUCAUUGUAUUUAUAUAGGGUCAAGGAGUGUAGCUGUAAAAAAUCAUAAAAAUUGGAGUUAAAAUAACCGUUAAAUUGUGAUUUUUCUUUUUAUAACCGUCGAAAAGUUUUGUUCGGUUAUUUGAUAUCUGAAUGUUUGUUUUUUGUGAUUUUUUAAUGAUGCGAUCUUGAAGCAUAUACAAACAAGUUUGACGGUUGGAUCGUUGAAAUUAGUUUCGUAUAAUUCGUAUCCCAUUAAGUUUAAUAGUGUAUAUAUAUAUAUAUAUAUAUUUAUUAAGUAGAUUUAAAUCUAUUUAUUUUGUACAUAUAAUUAUUAUAGUUUU